GGCGCCAUCUUCUAGUGGUUAGGAAACCGGGUUUUCAUCCCGGAAACGCGGGUCCGAUUCCCGCUGGCGCUA
RNAcentral lists this transfer RNA (72 nucleotides) under Candidatus Berkelbacteria bacterium. RNAcentral describes it as "tRNA-Glu". It matches the Rfam family "tRNA". From Rfam's summary of the family: Transfer RNA (tRNA) molecules are approximately 80 nucleotides in length. Their secondary structure includes four short double-helical elements and three loops (D, anti-codon, and T loops). Further hydrogen bonds mediate the characteristic L-shaped molecular structure. tRNAs have two regions of fundamental functional importance: the anti-codon, which is responsible for specific mRNA codon recognition, and the 3' end, to which the tRNAs corresponding amino acid is attached (by aminoacyl-tRNA synthetases). tRNAs cope with the degeneracy of the genetic code in two manners: having more than one tRNA (with a specific anti-codon) for a particular amino acid; and 'wobble' base-pairing, i.e. permitting non-standard base-pairing at the 3rd anti-codon position. The record is from RNAcentral. Lineage: Bacteria; Candidatus Berkelbacteria.